CCUACGGGUGGCAGCAGUGGGGAAUAUUGGACAAUGGGGGAAACCCUUAACCAGCCACGCCGCGUGAGGGAAGAAGGUUUUCGGAGUUUAAACCUCUGUCAGUGGGGACGAUAAUGACGUUACCCAUGGAGGAAGCCACGGUUAACUACGUGCCAGCAGCCGCGGUAAUAAGUAGGUGGCAAGCGUUGUCCGGAAUUACUCGGUGUAAAGGGAGCGUAGGCGGGAUGUCAAGUCAGAAGUGAAAAUUAUGGGCUCAACUCAUAACCUGCUUUUGAAACUGGUGUUCGUGAGUGAAGUAGAGGCAAGCGGAAUUCGUAGUGUAGCGGUGAAAUGCGUAGAUAUUAGGAGGAACACCAGUGGCGAAGGCAGCUUGCUGGGCUUUUACUGACGCUGAGGCUCGAAAGCGUGGGGAGCGAACAGGAUUAGAUACCCGUGUAGUC
RNAcentral lists this ribosomal RNA (440 nucleotides) under uncultured bacterium. RNAcentral describes it as "partial 16S ribosomal RNA". It matches the Rfam family "Bacterial small subunit ribosomal RNA", at positions 338 to 795 of the family's 1533-position model. The record is from RNAcentral.